AAGACUAUACUUGUAGGGAUCACUUGUAUUGUUUACUAGAGAAGUUUUUCUGACGGUCUGGAGCACUGAAAGCCAUGGGGGGAGGCACAGGGUUCCCUCCUGAGUGUUAAACCGGCUCCUGUUGUUCCACUGCAAGGCCGUUUGCCAUUGAUGAGCCCUUGAUUAUUGUUGCUCUUCCUUUGGGAGAGAGAGGGAGUGAUGCAGUCUGAGCGGC
Cynocephalus volans (Philippine flying lemur) is the source of this 214-nucleotide small nucleolar RNA. RefSeq annotates it as small nucleolar RNA U3. The record is from RefSeq and is a predicted model, not a curated record. NCBI's taxonomy places the organism in Eukaryota, Metazoa, Chordata, Mammalia, Dermoptera, Cynocephalidae. The transcript has a single exon.